Molecule: ribosomal RNA, 1281 nt
Filed under: Triticum aestivum (bread wheat)
Lineage: Eukaryota; Viridiplantae; Streptophyta; Magnoliopsida; Poales; Poaceae
Description: partial small subunit ribosomal RNA
Source: RNAcentral
AUGGCUGCUGGAGACGGCGAGCCGGUGCUGCAGUCCAAGAGCGUGUGCGUGGUGGGGGGCGGCAUGGCCGGCCUGGCGGCGGCGCGCGAGCUGCGGCGGGAGGGACACGCCGUCACCGUCAUGGAGCGGAGCGGCGACGUCGGCGGGCAGUGGCUGUACGACCCCAGGACCGACGCCGAGGACCCGCUCGGCGCCGCGGUGCCGGUGCGCGUGCCCAGCAGCAUCUACGCCUGCCUCCGCCUCAUCACCCCGCGGGAGGCCAUGGGCUUCUCCGACUUCCAGUUCCUGCCCAGGGACGGCCCUGGCCGCGACCCGCGCCGCUUCCCAGCCCACCGCGAGCUGCACUGCUACCUCCGGGACUUCUGCAACGCCUUUGGCCUCAUGGACGCCGUCAGGCUCAACACCCGGGUCCUGCGCGUCGCCCUCGCGCCGACGUCGACGACCACGACGCGCCAGUGGGCGGUGAGGUCCGUGCGGCGCCUCGGCUGCACCGAGGAUGAUGAAGCGCAGGAGGAGGAGGAGGUGUUCGACGCCGUUGUGGUGGCCACCGGUCACUACUCGCAGCCGAUGCUCCCGAGGGACAUCGAGGGCAUGGGGGAGUGGAGGCGCCGGCAGCUGCACAGCCACUCGUACCGGACGCCGGAGCCGUUCCGCGGCGAGACUGUGGUGGUGGUCGGGUGCGGGGACAGCGGCAAGGACAUCGCGCUGGACCUCUGCCGCGUCGCCAGGGAGGUGCACCUUGCCAGCAGCUCCGGGGUCGCCACGCCGGCCGUGUCGAGGAUGCUGGCCAACCACGGCGACGUGCUGCGCCUGCACCCCCGGAUCCGCCGUCUUCACGCCGACGGGCACGUGGAGUUCGUGGACGGCUCCUCCGUCGCGGCCGACACGGUCAUAUACUGUACAGGGUACACCUACUCGUUCCCGUUCCUGGACACGGGCGGGGCGGUCACCGUGAGCGACAGCGGCUAUGUGGUCGGCCCGCUGUUCGAGCACGUGUUCCCGCCGUCCCUGGCCCCGUCGCUGUCCUUCGUGGGCGUGCCGAGGAAGGUCCCGGUCCCGUGGUUCUUCGAGGUGCAGGCGCGGUGGGUGGCGCAGGUGCUGUCCGGCCGCCGCGCGCUGCCGGCGGAGGAGGAGAUGCUGCGGUCCGUGGAGGAGCACCUCCGCGCCAGGGAGGCCGCCGGAGUGCCGAGGAAGCUCACCCACAACAUCGGUGGCGUGGAACGUGAGAAGGUGUACGAGUUCGGGGAGAAGUACUCGGACUUGGCGCCGCUGGAGGAGUAG